UACGUAGGGGGCAAGCGUUGUUCGGAAUUACUGGGCGUAAAGGGCGCGUAGGCGGCUUAUCAAGUCAGGCGUGAAAUUCCCGGGCUCAACCUGGGGGCUGCGCUUGAUACUGAUUGGCUUGAAUGCGGGAGAGGAUAGUGGAAUUCCCAGUGUAGAGGUGAAAUUCGUAGAUAUUGGGAAGAACACCGGUGGCGAAGGCGGCUAUCUGGCCCGUAAUUGACGCUGAGGCGCGAAAGCGUGGGGAGCAAACAGG
This 253-nucleotide ribosomal RNA is filed under the name uncultured bacterium. Its description in RNAcentral is "partial 16S ribosomal RNA". It matches the Rfam family "Bacterial small subunit ribosomal RNA", at positions 524 to 776 of the family's 1533-position model. The record is from RNAcentral.